Non-coding RNA from Arvicanthis niloticus (Nile rat), 452 nucleotides. The record is from RefSeq and is a predicted model, not a curated record. NCBI's taxonomy places the organism in Eukaryota, Metazoa, Chordata, Mammalia, Rodentia, Muridae.
UACCGGGGGACCACUACACUACCGAGGGAAAGGCUCCCUGAAGAUCUGGGGUACAGACAGGAAGAGGGUGAUCACCAAAGUCAACGAGGCAGGUCUGCUUCUGGCAGCACCCCCAUUCCACUUCAAAGACAAUGCUGAGCAUCAGAGAACUAACUUGUGGAGUUUGCUUCAAUUUUGGCAAAUUGUCACAGGGAAAAACUGCCCUUGCUUCAACUGCAGACAGAAUGGUGUCCAAAAUGGACAAACAUGGACAUAGGGAAGCUGACUGUCAAGCUUUGAAAGGACAGAGCUGGGCACAGCCCAAGCUGGACUUUAAACUCAUCAUAUAGCUGAGGGUGACCCUGAGCUGAUCCUCCUGCCUCAGAUUACAGGCUUCGAGCCAUGGCACUACCUUUGAACAUUUCAAGAGGAGAAAACUGAGGUUUACAGAGACCUGAACCUGGACUGGCUAG